RNAcentral lists this transfer RNA (356 nucleotides) under uncultured Microcystis sp. RNAcentral describes it as "partial 16S-23S ribosomal RNA intergenic spacer". The stretch from base 133 to 206 matches the Rfam family "tRNA". The record is from RNAcentral. Lineage: Bacteria; Bacillati; Cyanobacteriota; Cyanophyceae; Chroococcales; Microcystaceae.
AAGGGAGACCUAAUUCAGGUAUGGGACGAAAAAAAAGUAGUCGCUACCAAGAAUCAAUCCCAAAAGGUCGGAGUGAGGUAUGAGGCUUUCAAACUAGGUUCUGGGUUCAAACAAGACCUGAAUCAGGAACAAGGGCUAUUAGCUCAGGUGGUUAGAGCGCACCCCUGAUAAGGGUGAGGUCCCUGGUUCGAGUCCAGGAUGGCCCACCUGCACAGGUGGCAAAAACAAGAGAAGCGAGGAAUCAGCACCUUAUCUUAUCUAUAUAUAAGAGAGAAUGCUGGCUCUGAGUAAAGAGUCCAGAGGAACCUUGAAAACUGCAUAGAGCUAGGUGAAAAAGCCAAAAAAGAAGACCGCAA